This 802-nucleotide ribosomal RNA is filed under the name uncultured bacterium. RNAcentral describes it as "bacterial SSU rRNA". It matches the Rfam family "Bacterial small subunit ribosomal RNA", at positions 52 to 827 of the family's 1533-position model. The record is from RNAcentral.
AGCGAGCUUGCCUAGAUGAUGUUAGUGCUUGCACUAAAUGAAACUCCAUACAAGCGAGCGGCGGACGGGUGAGUAACACGUGGGUAACCUGCCCAAGAGACUGGGAUAACACCUGGAAACAGAUGCUAAUACCGGAUAACAACACUAGACGCAUGUCUAGAGUUUGAAAGAUGGUUCUGCUAUCACUCUUGGAUGGACCUGCGGUGCAUUAGCUAGUUGGUAAGGUAACGGCUUACCAAGGCAAUGAUGCAUAGCCGAGUUGAGAGACUGAUCGGCCACAUUGGGACUGAGACACGGCCCAAACUCCUACGGGAGGCAGCAGUAGGGAAUCUUCCACAAUGGACGAAAGUCUGAUGGAGCAACGCCGCGUGAGUGAAGAAGGGUUUCGGCUCGUAAAGCUCUGUUGGUAGUGAAGAAAGAUAGAGGUAGUAACUGGCCUUUAUUUGACGGUAAUUACUUAGAAAGUCACGGCUAACUACGUGCCAGCAGCCGCGGUAAUACGUAGGUGGCAAGCGUUGUCCGGAUUUAUUGGGCGUAAAGCGAGUGCAGGCGGUUCAAUAAGUCUGAUGUGAAAGCCUUCGGCUCAACCGGAGAAUUGCAUCAGAAACUGUUGAACUUGAGUGCAGAAGAGGAGAGUGGAACUCCAUGUGUAGCGGUGGAAUGCGUAGAUAUAUGGAAGAACACCAGUGGCGAAGGCGGCUCUCUGGUCUGCAACUGACGCUGAGGCUCGAAAGCAUGGGUAGCGAACAGGAUUAGAUACCCUGGUAGUCCAUGCCGUAAACGAUGAGUGCUAAGUGUUGGG